Etheostoma cragini (Arkansas darter) is the source of this 171-nucleotide long non-coding RNA. RefSeq lists it as uncharacterized. NCBI's taxonomy places the organism in Eukaryota, Metazoa, Chordata, Actinopteri, Perciformes, Percidae. The transcript has 3 exons. The record is from RefSeq and is a predicted model, not a curated record.
GGUUGACAUCAGACUCUUCUCAGUUGUAACAGCGUGGGUCUGGGGGCGGUUCAUUCACGGCCCAUUUCCAAAGGGGUGUCACCAACGGACGCCACUCAAAUGCCUCUGGGCACAAUUUGAUAGAACUAAAACCAAUCAGAGCGAUGAAGGAGAUGACGAUUUAAAGUUGCU